AAAGACUUUAGGAAAGGUGGUGCCAAUCACAUUCUACCUCCUGGAAAAAGACAACCUUGCCUCCUCUACCGGUGCUCAGGCUGGGAAGUUGGGUUGUAGAGGGGAAGCCAGGCAGAAAUGAUCCCCAAACCUGCCUGUGUUGGGUCACAGAAAUAGGCACCGAGGCUUUGCUAGCCUCACAAAUAGGGAAGGCUGUAACAACCAGCCAUUUCUGCUGAUGCUUUUGCUGGUAUACAUCUCAUUGGAAUAUCAUUCCAAGAUUCAAAAAAGAAAAUCAAACUCUGCAUAAACCAGUAAGGUAAAGUGAAGCAAAAAUUCAAGCAUGACUAAAACAAUAUCAGGUCUCUGAUGAAAAUAAAGAAUGUUUCAGAAGCAUGGUCAACCUGAAAUAGUCACCCAAUGGGUAAGGCUGAGCUUGCUGUUAGUGUCCAGGGAUCCAUCAGUCCUCAUGAAGACCUUCAGUACAGGAAGGAAGGAGAUGGAACUAAAAUGAAAACUCUUGGAAACAGAACCCACAGAAGACAAAAAGAUGGAGACUAUGUGUCCAGUGAAGAGACUGAAAAGACUCAGUAAAAUAACUCCACCAAACCAUGAAAGUCAAUCCUCCUCUAUUUAACAUAAACAUAGUGAUGGAAAUGUAACCAAUAUUGCUUUUACUAAACAGCCUAGUUAGAAAGAAGGAAGGAAGAGAAAUGAGGGAAGAAAGGGGGAGUGAGGGAGAGAGGAAGGAAUGGAGGGAGGAGAAGGAGGAAGAAGAGGGAAGGAAUAGAGAUAGAUGCAAAGGUUCUCGAGAUGGAAAACGGGAGUAGUGACAAUACAAGCUGUAGAUUGUUGGGAGUGACUCAUGAGGUACCAUCUCAGGAACUUGAGAUAGGGAUUUUCAAAUACUCUCAAGACAGGAGAUGAGGCCUGUCUUAGUUUAGGUUUUUAUCGCUGAGACAAAACAUCAUGACCAAAGCUACUUAGGGAGGAAAGAGUUAAUUCAGUUUAUACUUUUACAUUACAGUUCAUCAUCAAGGGAAGUCAGGAUAAGAACUUAAGCAGGACAGGGACCUGGAGACAGGACAUGAUGCAGAUGCCAUAGAGGAAUGCUGCUUCUGUCUUGCUCCCCAUGCUUUGCUCAGCAAGCUUUCUUAUAGAACCCAGGACCACCAGCCCAGGGAUGGCAUCACCCAUAAUGGGCUGGACCCUCUCCCAUCAAUCACUAAUUAAGAAAAUGCCCCCGAGCUGGAUCUUUGGAGACAUUUUCUCAAUUGAGGGUCCCUCCUCUCUGUUGAAUCUAGUUCAUGUCAAGUGGACGUAAAACAAGCCAGCACAAGGCCUUAAGCCAAAGCCAAGCAGAGGCCUAAGAAAUCAAGCCAGCACCUGGAGAAUACUGCAUCCAUAGAGGAAAGAUGGAGAAGGAAGACAUACACACACUGCCAGCACAAAGAAGCAGGAAACAUCGGUCUAUACUUGACCUGUGGGAGUGGGGACAGGAGGCCUGGGUUUUCUUUGAGAAUGGGAAAGCUAAGGGCUUUCCUUUGCAUAGAUUUGGAAUCUGAAUUUUUUUGCUGCCCAGAGUCUAGAAAACACAUGCCUUGGGCUGAUGAUGUUCUAAUCACAUCCUAUGAACUCAUAACAGAAAUAAAUGCAGAACCACAGCCAAA
Molecule: long non-coding RNA, 1649 nt
Organism: Peromyscus eremicus (cactus mouse)
Lineage: Eukaryota; Metazoa; Chordata; Mammalia; Rodentia; Cricetidae
Exons: 2
Source: RefSeq, a predicted model, not a curated record